RNAcentral lists this ribosomal RNA (273 nucleotides) under uncultured bacterium. RNAcentral describes it as "partial 16S ribosomal RNA". It matches the Rfam family "Bacterial small subunit ribosomal RNA", at positions 524 to 796 of the family's 1533-position model. The record is from RNAcentral.
UACGUAGGUGGCAAGCGUUGUCCGGAUUCAUUGGGUUUAAAGGGUGCGUAGGCGGCCCUGUAAGUCAGUAGUGAAAUAUCACAGCUUAACUGUGAGGGUGCUAUUGAUACUGCGGGGCUUGAGUACAGACGAGGUAGGCGGAAUUGACGGUGUAGCGGUGAAAUGCUUAGAUAUCGUCAAGAACACCGAUAGUGUAGACAGCUUACUAGGCUGUAACUGACGCUGAGGCACGAAAGUGUGGGGAUCAAACAGGAUUAGAAACCCGCGUAGUCC